AGUGAACGCUGGCGGUAGGCCUAACACAUGCAAGUCGAACGGCAGCACAGUAAGAGCUUGCUCUUACGGGUGGCGAGUGGCGGACGGGUGAGGAAUACAUCGGAAUCUAUUUUUUCGUGGGGGAUAACGUAGGGAAACUUACGCUAAUACCGCAUACGACCUACGGGUGAAAGCAGGGGAUCUUCGGACCUUGCGCGAUUGAAUGAGCCGAUGUCGGAUUAGCUAGUUGGCGGGGUAAAGGCCCACCAAGGCGACGAUCCGUAGCUGGUCUGAGAGGAUGAUCAGCCACACUGGAACUGAGACGCGGUCCAGACUCCUACGGGAGGCAGCAGUGGGGAAUAUUGGACAAUGGGCGCAAGCCUGAUCCAGCCAUACCGCGUGGGUGAAGAAGGCCUUCGGGUUGUAAAGCCCUUUUGUUGGGAAAGAAAAGCAGCAGGUUAAUACCCCGCUGUUCUGACGGUACCCAAAGAAUAAGCACCGGCUAACUUCGUG
Molecule: ribosomal RNA, 492 nt
Filed under: uncultured bacterium
Lineage: Bacteria
Description: partial 16S ribosomal RNA
Rfam family: Bacterial small subunit ribosomal RNA
Source: RNAcentral